CACUCACUUUAGUGUAAGUCGCUCUGGAUAAGAGCGCCUGCUAAAUGACGUCAA
This is a non-coding RNA of Salmo salar (Atlantic salmon), 54 nucleotides long. The record is from Rfam. Lineage: Eukaryota; Metazoa; Chordata; Actinopteri; Salmoniformes; Salmonidae.